UCAGCCAUGUAUUUUCAGUUUUCCACCAACACCCAUCUUCAUCUCUACAUCCACAUGAAUCAUGAUUCCUCUCCUUUCUGUUUCUCCACCUCCGGCGGCGACAAUCACAGUCCAUCGACGACUGAUCCGAUUGUUGACCGGUGUUAGUCGUCAAUCUCCUGCGGGAAACUUCACCGGAGAUUCAGGAUUGCGCAACGUAGAGAGGAGGAGACAGAGUGUGAUGACUUCUGGGCGUUCCUUCACUCCGGCGAUGGUGGUGAUCAAGGACGGCGACUGUACUGUUUGCGGUGUUGCCUCUUAGAUGACGACGGCUGUUAAACGGACCAUGAAACUAAGUCAGUCCAACGAUUCGUGGUUGUAGAGGGGAAAUGAGUGGUAUUCCAAUUCUCCGGAAUGACCUGGCCUCAGGCAAAUCAGAUGAUGGCGGCAGGUCCUUGGAUCCUGAUCUGUCAAUCAGGUGUUACAUCGGCGGCAUGAUAAGGGAUCCGAACGUAAAUCGGCAACAAGGAAGGUGAAAAUGAGCUUUUGGUCGUAUAGUAUCUUUUUUCGGAGAUGUUUGAUGUCUGGAUCCUUUUGGACUGUGAUUGUCACCGAUGGACUGUGAUUGUCUUUUGCGAUGG
Molecule: long non-coding RNA, 620 nt
Organism: Helianthus annuus (common sunflower)
Lineage: Eukaryota; Viridiplantae; Streptophyta; Magnoliopsida; Asterales; Asteraceae
Exons: 3
Source: RefSeq, a predicted model, not a curated record